Molecule: ribosomal RNA, 429 nt
Filed under: Acidobacteriota bacterium
Lineage: Bacteria; Pseudomonadati; Acidobacteriota
Description: Acidobacteria bacterium partial 16S ribosomal RNA
Rfam family: Bacterial small subunit ribosomal RNA
Source: RNAcentral
UGGGGAAUUUUGGACAAUGGGGGAAACCCUGAUCCAGCCAUCCCGCGUGUGCGAUGAAGGCCUUCGGGUUGUAAAGCACUUUUGGCAGGAAAGAAACGUCAUGGGUUAAUACCCCGUGAAACUGACGGUACCUGCAGAAUAAGCACCGGCUAACUACGUGCCAGCAGCCGCGGUAAUACGUAGGGUGCAAGCGUUAAUCGGAAUUACUGGGCGUAAAGCGUGCGCAGGCGGUUCGGAAAGAAAGAUGUGAAAUCCCAGAGCUCAACUUUGGAACUGCAUUAUUAACUACCGGGCUAGAGUGUGUCAGAGGGAGGUGGAAUUCCGCGUGUAGCAGUGAAAUGCGAAGAUAUGCGGAGGAACACCGGUGGCGAAGGCAGCCUCCUAGGAUAACACUGACGCUCAUGCACGAAAGCGUGGGGAGCAAACAGG